Molecule: long non-coding RNA, 514 nt
Organism: Limanda limanda (common dab)
Lineage: Eukaryota; Metazoa; Chordata; Actinopteri; Pleuronectiformes; Pleuronectidae
Exons: 3
Source: RefSeq, a predicted model, not a curated record
AGAGAGAGUGUUUGCAGUUUGACGGCUACUCGUGGACAGGCUCCGAGGCUCCUGGGCAGGGCUUCCCUCCGAUAUCCAUGGGGAGGAAUCUGGUUUGUCUGGUUGGAGCUCUUCCCCUCACGCACGUCGCUCCUCUCCUUUCAAAGGUCCAGUCGAGUCACCCCCCGUGUUUCUCCCUGAAGGCCACAGAUAAAGACCGAGUUGUCCCAGGCUUCAGCUCCUGACCUCUGACGUCAAGACACCACUGGAAUUUUUCGCGGCUUCAGGGAUGUUUCCUUCGGGGAAAACACCCUGAUAAUAAGGGGAAGCAACACGUUGUCGUUACUGUAAACAACACGCCACAUGUGAUGAGUCCCCCCCCCCAUGAGUCUGCCCAUGUGUGUGCGGGGUCCGGGUGCGAGGAGCCCGGGUCUUACCCUGCCUCUGCUGCCGGGGGAGCUCCGGUGCUGCUGCCGUGACUCCGGGGAUCUUCUGCCCGGGAACCGUGCUCGAUCCGCGGGUUCAAGCGACCAAA